RNAcentral lists this long non-coding RNA (3681 nucleotides) under Mus pahari (shrew mouse). Its description in RNAcentral is "predicted gene 16059 (MGP_PahariEiJ_G0002760.1)". The record is from RNAcentral. Lineage: Eukaryota; Metazoa; Chordata; Mammalia; Rodentia; Muridae.
UCAUGUGUCCGCAUGGCUGGAAAAAUCUCAAGGAGAAUUGUGGGUUUCACCCACGAGAAUCUGACCAUUCUCUGUAUGAAUGCAUGGGUAAGAAAAACUCACAACGGCCAUACACCAGGACAGAAAGCCUGCGGCGAGAUCCGCACCUUCCACAGCAGGCGCGAAAUUUACUAUGUAUUUGUGUUCAUAGCCGCCUGUGGGUGUGGGUGCCACGGCAUGCGUGUGAAGUCAGUCAGUUCUCUCCUUCCACCACGUGAUCCUGGGGAUCAAUCUCAGGCCAUCAGGCCUGGCGAGAAGCAACCUCACCACUGAGCCAUCCUGCCAGCCCUACGGCUUUCUAUAGGUUUUGCACGUGUGUACAGGGUUACAUGCAUGUGUAAGUUUGGGUGAUUUUUUUUUUUUUUUUAAUAGCACUGCCAACUGAGGGCAGGGCCUCUUGAGUACCGGGUGAGUACCCAUCCCUGAGCUGCACCCCCAGCUCUGCUUUUUAUCUUUGAAACAGAGUCUUAACUACGUAUCCCAGGCUGGCUCCAAACUCCGGGCAAGCCUCCAGCCCCAGCCUCCUGAGCACUGGAAUUACUGACAUGACCUACUAUGACCCAGUUCUGAUUUUGGAUUUUCACUGCUGGUGGUCGUUUGGUUUGGUUUUGUGUUCUUUAAGAUAGGGUCUUACACCGUACUCCAGACUGCCCUUGAGCUUACGGUAACUCUCCUGCCUCAGUCUCCUGAGAGCUGGAAUUGCAGGCAUGAGGCACCGCAUUCAGAUUCUGGUUUUAUCUUUCUCUUUUCCUUUUUUAAAUGAACCAAAUCAAAGCUCAUUAAAAGAGGUUUGGGGGGCUGGAGAGAUGGCUCAGCAGUUAAGAGCACUCAUUUCUCUUCCGGAUGACCUGAGUUCAGUUCCCAGCACCCACACUGGGUAGCUCACAGCUGUCUGUCACUUUUGCUCAGGAGAUCUGAUACCUCCAGCCUUAGGAAGUAUCAGCACAGACACAUACUUAUACAUAAUCACAUUUUUUUCUUUUGGCCUUUCCACACAGGGUUUCUCUGUGUAGCUCUGGCCUCAAGCUCAGAGAUCCACUUGACUUUGUCUCCCAAGUGCUGGGAUUAAAAGUGUGAGCCACCACACCCAACUUUUUAAAUAAAUCUUAAACUUAAGGUGAGAGAAACUGAAGACACCCAGUGUUGAACUUUGUACCCCAUCCCUCUCUACGCAAGCGCAAUACGUGAGAACAAACACACAUACGUUUAUACAGUCACACACAUGCAAGAUAACAAUAACAAGGAAGUUAUUUUAACACAAAUUUCAGCAGGAUUCUAACAGAAGUAGGGCGGCUUAGGGAAAGGGGCUGUGCUGGCUUUACGUCAGCUUGACACAAGCUAGAGUCAUCGGAGAGAAGAGACCCUCAACUGGGAAAAUGCUUUCAUAAGAUAAGGAGGCAACCCUGUAGGACAUUUUCCUAAUUAACCAUUUGAUGAGGAAGGGUAUUGUAGGCGGGGCCGUCCUGGGUGGGUGGGGCCAUCUCCAGGAGCAUGGUCCUGGGUUCUAUAAAAAAGCGGCUGAGCAAACCAUGAAGAGCAAGCAAGCAGCACCCCUCCAGGUUCCUGCCCUGUCUUCCUUUGAUGAACAUUGAUGGAAGUAAGGAAAACCAACCCUUUCCUCCCCAAGUUGCUUUUGGUCAUGGUGUUUCCUCACAUCACCAGUAACCCUAACUAAGAUGGGGUGGACAAAGAGUGGGUGUGAACUACCCGAGGGAGAGUGGCCUGCUUUUGCCUUUCUGUGAGAGCUUUCCUCUGUGCACCAUCAAGGGCCGUAGGACCUGAGUGACACCUGCUCUGGCCCAGGCACCUGACUCAAUGCUCGUGAUGCAAGCCAGGUGGCUGAAGCUCAGGGGACUCAGUCAUAUCAGGCAGUGACUACCUAACCUCGAGGGGCUGCAGCUGCCAGCUUGCCAGGAGGGUGACUCGCCAGGUAAGGCGGUUUAAAUGAACAAUGUCUUCCUGAGGCUCAGACACGUAAACACUGGGUUUCUAAUGGGUGACACUGGAGAGGUUAUGGAGAGGGACAGCCUUGGUGGAGGAAGUCUGUGUGUGUGGGGGGUUGGUUUUGAGAAUUGAAUGUCUCCCCCCACUUCCAGCUUCCUCUCUGCUCCCUGCCCUUCCACCAGACCUUCCCCACUAUUAUGGGCUGCCUCUCUGGAACCCUCAGCCCAAAUCAAUGCUUCCUCCAUAAGCUGCUUCUGGCCCCAUGCGUUAUCACAGGAAGAGCAGAGAGAGAGGCCUGGAAUCUGCACCCUCUGGGUUCCACAAUGGGUCCUCAGUGUCCCCUGGUCCCCUGGAACAGGCCCAAGCUUGGGAGGUGGAACUCGGGGCUGGUAUGCAGGGCCUAGGGCCAUCCUGGCUGAGAGGCUCACAGAGCAGGAGAGUCACCGGAGCAGCAGGAGGGGUGGGGACUCACCAUCUGGUCGGCCAGCAACAGCACCGUCUUGAGGCUGAACUUCCGGGAACAGAAGUUGAAGAGGUCCUCCAGGCUGGGCCCCAGCAGCUCCAUGACCAUCACGUUAUAGUCUCCCUCAGCCCCGCACCACUUGAUGGAUGGGAUCCCCACUGGGCCCAGAAGAGAGACUCAGUCAGCGGUAGCCACUCAUGUCCUCUGCAUCAUCUUCUCCUCCUCGACACCCAGAACACCAGCUCCCCGUCCCCCAUCUUCUGUGCCAGCCCCCCCCAGCCCCAGCCCCGCCUCACCUCCGCCCUGCAUCAUCUUGUAGAACUUGCUCUCGAUGUGGAGCUGGGGAUGCUUCGUCUUCACACAUUCGAGCUUGAUGGCUACUUCCUCACCAGAGGCAAUGUUGGCACCUGCCCGAGUCAGAGGAGUUUCUCACAGCUGGAAGCAAGAUGUUCUAACUCAGAAAUUAUACACUCCAAGGCCUGGCUCUCAGCCUGGGGCCGUGGCUCCAGGAGUCACAAGAGAACCUGGGCACGGUGCACACCUGCAAUCCCGACAUGGAGGGAGCCGAAGCAAGAGAACUUCCUGAGUUCAAGAUCAUCCAGGUUUACACAUAAAUUUCAGGCCAGCCUGGGCUACACAAUGAUUUCUAGCCUAGGCUAUAGAGUGACACUGUUUGGAAGGGAGGGAGAGGAUGGGUCAGAAGUAGGUUGGUUAGUUGGUUUUUGAUUUUUUUGGUUGUUGUUUGUUUGUUUGUUUGUUUGUUUUUAAUGAUCUAGUCAUUUCUAUCCUAUGUCCACCAGUGAUCUGCCUGCUUGUUCCUGUCUGUGAGGGUGUCAUAUAUCCUAGAACUGAGGUCACAAACAAGUGUGGGCUGCCUUGUGGGUGCUGGGAAUCGAAGCCCAGUCCUUUGGAAGAAUAGCCAGUGCUCUGAAAUGUUGAGCCAUAGUAGGGGUUGAGAGAACUGUAGUUCUCAGGGGCUGUGUGGAGGAGAAGAGAGGGACAAAAGGCAAGUCAGAGGCUGGAAGCAGCUCUGGGGUUACAGCAGGCUGGGAGCCAGAGGCAGGAGCUGCUCUUGGAAGUGAUGGACGUUUGAGACUUAGCUGACGAGGGAACGGCGUUGCAGUAGGGCCACACAACUGCAUACUUGCUGUGUUCUCACCAUGUAGCCCAGGUUGGCCCGGUACUUGCUAAUGUCCUGUCUCAGAUGGAGCUAACUGGCCUCCACACAUACGUCA